AGUACCCGCGGUAAUUCCAGCUCCAAUAGCGUAUAUUAAAGUUGUUGCAGUUAAAAAGCUCGUAGUUGAAUUUCGGGGUCGGUAGAUUGGUCGUGCCUCUGGUAUGCACUGGUCUUACUGGCUCCCCCUUCCUGAUGAACCGUAAUGCCAUUAAUUUGGUGUUGCGGGGAGACUGGACUGUUACUUUGAAAAAAUUAGAGUGUUUAAAGCAGGCUAAUGCUUGAAUACAUUAGCAUGGAAUAAUGAAAUAGGACGUUCGAUCUUAUUUUGUUGGUUUCUAAGAUUGACGUAAUGAUUAAUAGGGAUAGUUGGGGGCAUUAGUAUUCAAUUGUCAGAGGUAAAAUUCCUGGAUUUAU
This 356-nucleotide ribosomal RNA is filed under the name uncultured Glomeraceae. RNAcentral's name for it is "SSU rRNA". It matches the Rfam family "Eukaryotic small subunit ribosomal RNA", at positions 569 to 929 of the family's 1831-position model. The record is from RNAcentral. Lineage: Eukaryota; Fungi; Glomeromycota; Glomeromycetes; Glomerales; Glomeraceae.